AUUGAACGCUGGCGGAAUGCUUUACACAUGCAAGUCGAACGGCAGCACGGACUUCGGUCUGGUGGCGAGUGGCGAACGGGUGAGUAAUGUAUCGGAACGUGCCCAGUCGUGGGGGAUAACGUAGUGAAAAUUACGCUAAUACCGCAUACGAUCUAUGGAUGAAAGCGGGGGAUCGCAAGACCUCGCGCGAUUGGAGCGGCCGAUAUCAGAUUAGGUAGUUGGUGGGGUAAAGGCCCACCAAGCCAACGAUCUUGAGCUGGUCUGAGAGGACGACCGCCCACACUGAGACGGAGAAACGGUCCGGACUCCUACGGGAGGCAGCGGUGGGGAAUUUUGGACAAUGGGCGAAAGCCUGUUCCGGCCAUUCCGCGUGCAGGAUGAAGGCCCUCGGGUUGUAAACUGCUUUUGUACAGAACGAAAAGGUUUCUACUAAUACUAGGAGCUCAUGACGGUACUGUAAGAAUAAGCACCGGCUAACUACGUGCCAGCAGCCGCCGUAA
This 500-nucleotide ribosomal RNA is filed under the name uncultured bacterium. RNAcentral's name for it is "partial 16S ribosomal RNA". It matches the Rfam family "Bacterial small subunit ribosomal RNA", at positions 30 to 523 of the family's 1533-position model. The record is from RNAcentral.